RNAcentral lists this ribosomal RNA (370 nucleotides) under Vibrio sp. R-123. RNAcentral describes it as "bacterial SSU rRNA". It matches the Rfam family "Bacterial small subunit ribosomal RNA", at positions 314 to 676 of the family's 1533-position model. Lineage: Bacteria; Pseudomonadati; Pseudomonadota; Gammaproteobacteria; Vibrionales; Vibrionaceae. The record is from RNAcentral.
GGGAACUGAGACACGGUCCAGACUCCUACGGGAGGCAGCAGUGGGGAAUAUUGCACAAUGGGCGCAAGCCUGAUGCAGCCAUGCCGCGUGUGUGAAGAAGCGCUUCGGGUUGUAAAGCACUUUCAGUCGUGAGGAAGGUAGUGUAGUUAAUAGCUGCAUUAUUUGACGUUAGCGACAGAAGAAGCACCGGCUAACUCCGUGCCAGCAGCCGCGGUAAUACGGAGGGUGCGAGCGUUAAUCGGAAUUACUGGGCGUAAAGCGCAACCAGUUGUUUUGUAAAGUCAGAUGUGAAAGCCCGGGGCUCAACCUCGGAAUAGCAUUUGAAACUGGCAGACUAGAGUACUGUAGAGGGGGGUAGAAUUUCAGGUGU